AUUGAACGCUGGCGGCAGGCUUAACACAUGCAAGUCGAGCGGUAGCACAAGAGAGCUUGCUCUCUGGGUGACGAGCGGCGGACGGGUGAGUAAUGUCUGGGAAACUGCCUGAUGGAGGGGGAUAACUACUGGAAACGGUAGCUAAUACCGCAUAACGUCGCAAGACCAAAGAGGGGGACCUUCGGGCCUCUUGCCAUCAGAUGUGCCCAGAUGGGAUUAGCUAGUAGGUGGGGUAAUGGCUCACCUAGGCGACGAUCCCUAGCUGGUCUGAGAGGAUGACCAGCCACACUGGAACUGAGACACGGUCCAGACUCCUACGGGAGGCAGCAGUGGGGAAUAUUGCACAAUGGGCGCAAGCCUGAUGCAGCCAUGCCGCGUGUGUGAAGAAGGCCUUCGGGUUGUAAAGCACUUUCAGCGAGGAGGAAGGUGGUGAACUUAAUACGUUCAUCAAUUGACGUUACUCGCAGAAGAAGCACCGGCUAACUCCGUGCCAGCAGCCGCGGUAAUACGGAGGGUGCAAGCGUUUAUCGGAAUUACUGGGCGUAAAGCGCACGCAGGCGGUUUGUUAGUCAGAUGUGAAAUCCCCGGGCUCAACCUGGGAACUGCAUUUGAAACUGGCAAGCUAGAGUCUCGUAGAGGGGGGUAGAAUUCCAGGUGUAGCGGUGAAAUGCGUAGAGAUCUGGAGGAAUACCGGUGGCGAAGGCGGCCCCCUGGACGAAGACUGACGCUCAGGUGCGAAAGCGUGGGGAGCAAACAGGAUUAGAUACCCUGGUAGUCCACGCUGUAAACGAUGUCGAUUUGGAGGUUGUGCCCUUGAGGCGUGGCUUCCGGAGCUAACGCGUUAAAUCGACCGCCUGGGGAGUACGGCCGCAAGGUUAAAACUCAAAUGAAUUGGCGGGGGCCCGCACAAGCGGUGGAGCAUGUGGUUUAAUUCGAUGCAACGCGAAGAACCUUACCUACUCUUGACAUCCAGAGAACUUUCCAGAGAUGGAUUGGUGCCUUCGGGAACUCUGAGACAGGUGCUGCAUGGCUGUCGUCAGCUCGUGUUGUGAAAUGUUGGGUUAAGUCCCGCAACGAGCGCAACCCUUAUCCUUUGUUGCCAGCGGUUCGGCCGGGAACUCAAAGGAGACUGCCAGUGAUAAACUGGAGGAAGGUGGGGAUGACGUCAAGUCAUCAUGGCCCUUACGAGUAGGGCUACACACGUGCUACAAUGGCAUAUACAAAGAGAAGCGACCUCGCGAGAGCAAGCGGACCUCAUAAAGUAUGUCGUAGUCCGGAUUGGAGUCUGCAACUCGACUCCAUGAAGUCGGAAUCGCUAGUAAUCGUAGAUCAGAAUGCUACGGUGAAUACGUUCCCGGGCCU
RNAcentral lists this ribosomal RNA (1362 nucleotides) under uncultured bacterium. RNAcentral's name for it is "bacterial SSU rRNA". It matches the Rfam family "Bacterial small subunit ribosomal RNA", at positions 28 to 1381 of the family's 1533-position model. The record is from RNAcentral.